This 93-nucleotide non-coding RNA is filed under the name Aneurinibacillus thermoaerophilus. RNAcentral's name for it is "GEMM cis-regulatory element". It matches the Rfam family "c-di-GMP-I riboswitch aptamer". From Rfam's summary of the family: GEMM was predicted in a large-scale screen for bacterial structured RNA regulatory elements. RNAcentral also lists the same sequence under 1 other name. The record is from RNAcentral. Lineage: Bacteria; Bacillati; Bacillota; Bacilli; Caryophanales; Paenibacillaceae.
CUUCGAUAAUGGCAAACCCACUGAAAAGUGGGGACGCAAAGCCACGGGCCUACCGUUUAUGCUGGCAUAAACCAUGGCAGCCGGGUUGCCGAA